This 906-nucleotide ribosomal RNA is filed under the name archaeon enrichment culture clone PW20.4A. RNAcentral describes it as "bacterial SSU rRNA". It matches the Rfam family "Archaeal small subunit ribosomal RNA", at positions 1 to 913 of the family's 1478-position model. The record is from RNAcentral.
UUCCGGUNGAUCCCGCCGGNAGGUCACUGCUAUUGGGGUUCGACUAAGCCAUGCGAGUCUAUGGACUUCGGUCCAUGGCGGACGGCUCAGUAACACGUGGCUAACCUACCCUCGGGUGGGGGAUAACCUCGGGAAACUGAGGAUAAUACCCCAUAGGAGAAGAGGUCUGGAAUGAUCCUUCUCUGAAAACAUAUGUGCCCGAGGAUGGGGCUGCGUCUGAUUAGGUAGUUGGUGGGGUAACGGCCCACCAAGCCUACGAUCAGUACGGGCCUUGAGAGAGGCAGCCCGGAGAUGGGGACUGAGACACGGCCCCAGGCCCUACGGGGCGCAGCAGGCGCGAAACCUCCGCAAUGCACGAAAGUGCGACGGGGGGACCCCAAGUGCUUACGCACUGCGUAGGCUUUUCUAAAGUGUAAAAAGCUUUAGGAAUAAGGGCUGGGCAAGUCCGGUGCCAGCAGCCGCGGUAACACCGGCGGCCCGAGUGGUGACCACUUUUAUUGGGCCUAAAGCGUCCGUAGCCGGUCCAGUAAGUCCCUGUUUAAAUCCUACGGCUUAACCGUAGGGCUGGCAGGGAUACUGCUGGACUUGGGACCGGGAGAGGGCGAGGGUACUUCAGGGGUAGCGGUGAAAUGUGUUGAUCCCUGGAGGACCACCUAUGGCGAAGGCACUCGCCUGGAACGGGUCCGACGGUGAGGGACGAAAGCCAGGGGCGCGAACCGGAUUAGAUACCCGGGUAGUCCUGGCCGUAAACUCUGCGGACUAGGUGUUAGGUAGGCCCCGUGCCUAUCUAGUGCCGAAGGGAAGCCGUUAAGUCCGCCGCCUGGGGAGUACGGUCGCAAGACUGAAACUUAAAGGNAUUGGCGGGGGAGCACUACAACGGGUGGAGCCCGCGGUUUNAUUGGAUUC